This 228-nucleotide ribosomal RNA is filed under the name Triticum aestivum (bread wheat). RNAcentral describes it as "partial small subunit ribosomal RNA". Lineage: Eukaryota; Viridiplantae; Streptophyta; Magnoliopsida; Poales; Poaceae. The record is from RNAcentral.
AUGGACCAAUCCAUCCCUUUUUCCCGUGCAUAUGCAUCGGACUCGGAUGACGAUGGUCCUGAUGAAGAAGUUGAUGAGGAGGGGUUCACACCAAAGGAGGCCGAAGCAUUCAAGAAGGUAUUCGGGCGGGAUCACAAGACACCAUUGUUCAAGGAUCUUAGUCUCGCGGAUGAAGCCGUUGUGGAUGGUGGAAAAUGCAUAUCUCUUGGAGCUAGGCCAAGUUCUCAC